GACCUCUACUCCUGUCACAAUGAAGUCGACUGUUUCGUCGAGGGAAGUGGCCACCGUUGAUAAAAUGAAAAGACGCCAUGCAGAAUACUGUGCACAGGAGGAAAGGUCUGCGUGCCCUAAGAGAGAGCUGCUGGCGUGCAGAGAGAAGCAGAGAUGCCGACGACGGGGAGGAAACACACUGGCGGUGGAUCUGCGGAGAUGGACAGGACAGGAGACUAAGGAGGUGAGAACCCUGGCCCACACCAUCACUAAGGGCCCUUCCUGAGGUCUGCUUCCCACAUGAAGUCCUCCCAGGGCCCUGAAUCCAGCCAUCCACCUCCUUGUUGGACAUAGGCUCCAUUAGAGAGAUGCGGGGCUCCAGCCCCCCUUGCUCUGCCUCCCUGUGAGAAGUUGCUGACAGUGAAGGAAAGGUCAGUGAGUCCUGCUAAUUAAAAAACACUUUGCCCCAUCCGAUUUCCC
This 459-nucleotide long non-coding RNA is filed under the name Homo sapiens (human). RNAcentral describes it as "non-protein coding lnc-DYDC1-1:2". Lineage: Eukaryota; Metazoa; Chordata; Mammalia; Primates; Hominidae. The record is from RNAcentral.